Molecule: long non-coding RNA, 1040 nt
Filed under: Olea europaea subsp. europaea
Lineage: Eukaryota; Viridiplantae; Streptophyta; Magnoliopsida; Lamiales; Oleaceae
Source: RNAcentral
CCUCGAAAAACACUAGCCCGGGCAGGAUCACAUCUACCAUCAAUACCCCUGUAGGGGUAAUCAUCUUCAGUGUCAAUCAAUGCCACCACUGGCUAUAAUGAAUUGGAAGGCAUAGACCAUUAGACCUUCAUUGCACCCAGAAUUUUUGAUUCUGUCACGGUCUACUUCUUGUUCUGAUGGAGGGACAAGUUCCCCCUGUAACUAUCUGGUUUAUGCUUUCAACGGCAGCAACAGUUGAGAAAGCCCAACUACUUACUGAUUCACGAACAACAUAAAUUUAUUGUCUUGUAAGUCAAUUUUAAGGCUAAUUUUUUUUUCUCUUGAUCUUUUUGCUUUUGGCUCUUAAUAAAUAAGAUUCCAAACGUGAAGAUUUUGAAUCUUGAAGCAGAGCAUGAAAAACAGACUUGAAAAAAUGCAGUGAAAAAAAGGAUGGGAAGAUAACCUCACCACAACUUGAUUUCUAACCGGAGCAACGGCUCCUUUCUUUCUCCAACCAACAAAUUCCGCCAACCCGAAUAGCAUAACGCUGGCUAGCUAUUUUUGAUUUCACAAACCUCGUACCCAAGAACAUGGACCUGUACUCUUUAUUAGUCAGAUCAGCAAACUGGUUCAAUCCCACCUUGUAUGUUCGAUUCUCCGAGUUAUGUUCAUCAAUAAACAUAAUAUUAUCCUUGAAAAUUUGAAAUCUUUUGUCCUUCUCUUCCAAACCAUUGUAUACUUUGUCAUGCCUUGCUAGCCACCAUUCGUACAAGCCCUUCACUUCUUGGACGCUUUUCCAUGAUGUGUUUAUUGUCAUAAUCUAUGAUCGACAUGUCUAUUACAUGUGACCAAGACGCGAAUAAGAGGAAAAGAAAGGUGAUCAUGGGCAUGGCUAUGGCUAUGGCUUAGAAAUGGAGAUGAGAUCUCUAUAGGAAUCUAAGCCCACGAGGAAGAAUUGUUAGAUUGCUUAGGCUUGAAGAAGUUGUCCAAUGAGAUCCAGAGAGACCAGAUCCAUAGGAUGUCAUGUAUGGAAUCGGCCUAGACCACGAUCGAUGCCAAUA